This 212-nucleotide unclassified non-coding RNA is filed under the name Hevea brasiliensis (rubber tree). The record is from RNAcentral. Lineage: Eukaryota; Viridiplantae; Streptophyta; Magnoliopsida; Malpighiales; Euphorbiaceae.
GGUUUCCCGUGUAUGAGAUCUCCUUCGAUAACUUCAUCCCAUGCACUGGUAAUGGGUUUCGGCAUUGCUGACAAUUGAACAUUUACUUCCUUUCCUUCUUCCAUGUCUAUUCAGGUCAGAUCCACCAAGUCCUAGGGUUCUCUUAACUGGGUUUUGGGCCUUACUUUCAGCAAGGGCUUUGGUGGUUAUGGGUUUAUUAUGGCUUCUUUUCU